GACGAACGCUGGCGGCGUGCUUAACACAUGCAAGUCGAACGGAAAGGCCCUGCUUUUGUGGGGUGCUCGAGUGGCGAACGGGUGAGUAACACGUGGGUAACCUGCCCUUGACUUUGGGAUAACUUCAGGAAACUGGGGCUAAUACCGGAUAGGAUCUCCUGCUGCAUGGUGGGGGUUGGAAAGUUUCGGCGGUUGGGGAUGGACUCGCGGCUUAUCAGCUUGUUGGUGGGGUAGUGGCUUACCAAGGCUUUGACGGGUAGCCGGCCGGAGAGGGUGACCGGCCACAUUGGGACUGAGAGACGGACCAGACUCCUACGGGAGGCAGCAGUGGGGAAUAUUGCACAAUGGGAGGAAGCCUGAUGCAGCAACGCCGCGUGCGGGAUGACGGCCUUCGGGUUGUAAACCGCUUUCGCCUGUGACGAAGCGUGAGUGACGGUAAUGGGUAAAGAAGCACCGGCUAACUACGUG
RNAcentral lists this ribosomal RNA (468 nucleotides) under uncultured bacterium. Its description in RNAcentral is "partial 16S ribosomal RNA". It matches the Rfam family "Bacterial small subunit ribosomal RNA", at positions 28 to 507 of the family's 1533-position model. The record is from RNAcentral.